This is a long non-coding RNA of Piliocolobus tephrosceles (Ugandan red Colobus), 785 nucleotides long. RefSeq lists it as uncharacterized. Lineage: Eukaryota; Metazoa; Chordata; Mammalia; Primates; Cercopithecidae. The record is from RefSeq and is a predicted model, not a curated record. The transcript is spliced from 3 exons.
GCGCUGCCUGUUUGAUGCUUCCACCAUGUGAAGAAGCUGGGAGUGGCUUCCUUUAAGAUGGGAGACCAUACGGAAAGGGGUUCUGCUGACAGCCAGCACCAAUCCGCUGGACAUGGGACUGAGGUCAUCUCAUACCAUUACGUCUCGGUUAACUGCCAGGUGACUGCAGCCAUAUGAAUAACCACAGCUCCUAUACCUUUUAUUUCUUUUUCAAAAAGAUCGUCCUUGACUUACUUCACUGGCUGAACUCCCGUGUAACGGUGAAAGAAGUGGUGAUAAUGGCAGAUGAAUAAAAAAAUGCAAAGCAAAGAGGAAUCGUAUACUGCUUCCCAAAGGUGUACCACCGGAUACUCCAGGAUUCCAGAAGACCCUCUGAAUGGCUCCUUUAAUUCACAGAGAUAACUCAAGACAAUAAGUAAUACUUUGAAAAAGUACAACUGAAACACAAGCCUUAGCUUCCUAGCUCAGGCUGAGAUGUGGAAAGGGAGCCUAUCAGACACCAAGGGACUACCUAUUUUUACAAACAGACUCAAAAAAUACCAUCUUUGGACCAAUUCCCAGACACAGACAUAGAACAUUCAACAUUACCUGAUUCUGCUUGAUCGUAGCCAAAGAAACUUAGCAGCUUGAGGAGCAGUUUCUCCUCAAUUUGCACUGUGAAUCUCUGAGCUGUGACCAUCAGAUGCUAGAGAUAAAGAAAUUCUGAUUUAAAGUGUGAACACCAGAAGGAACAUUCAUCUGUGCUAUUAAGAAGGCCUCAAUGACAUGGUAUGCUUUCAUUAAUC